AGAGUUUGAUCCUGGCUCAGGAUGAACGCUAGCGGCAGGCUUAACACAUGCAAGUCGAGGGGCAUCGGAGGGAAGCUUGCUUCCUUGCCGGCGACCGGCGCACGGGUGAGUAACACGUAUGCAACCUGCCCUCUUCAGGGGGACAACCUUCCGAAAGGGAGGCUAAUCCCGCGUAUAUCGGUUUCGGGCAUCCGAGAUCGAGGAAAGAUUCAUCGGAAGAGGAUGGGCAUGCGGCGCAUUAGCUUGACGGCGGGGUAACGGCCCACCGUGGCGACGAUGCGUAGGGGUUCUGAGAGGAAGGUCCCCCACACUGGUACUGAGACACGGACCAGACUCCUACGGGAGGCAGCAGUGAGGAAUAUUGGUCAAUGGGAGAGAUCCUGAACCAGCCAAGCCGCGUGAGGGAAGACGACCCUAUGGGUUGUAAACCUCUUUUGUCGGAGAACAAAACCCGGGACGUGUCCCGGACUGCGUGUAUCCGAAGAAAAAGCAUCGGCUAACUCCGUG
Molecule: ribosomal RNA, 507 nt
Filed under: uncultured Bacteroidales bacterium
Lineage: Bacteria; Pseudomonadati; Bacteroidota; Bacteroidia; Bacteroidales
Description: bacterial SSU rRNA
Rfam family: Bacterial small subunit ribosomal RNA
Source: RNAcentral